This 431-nucleotide ribosomal RNA is filed under the name uncultured bacterium. Its description in RNAcentral is "partial 16S ribosomal RNA". It matches the Rfam family "Bacterial small subunit ribosomal RNA", at positions 29 to 507 of the family's 1533-position model. The record is from RNAcentral.
AACGAACGCUGGCGGCAGGCCUAACACAUGCAAGUCGAGCGCCCUUUCGGGGGAGCGGCGGACGGGUGCGUACCGCGUGGGAAUAUGCCCUUCUCUACGGAAUAGCCUCGGGAAACUGAGAGUAAUACCGUAUACGCCCUGUGGGGGAAAGAUUUAUCGGGGAAGGAUUAGCCCGCGUUGGAUUAGGUAGUUGGUGGGGUAAUGGCCUACCAAGCCGACGAUCCAUAGCUGGUUUGAGAGGAUGAUCAGCCACACUGGGACUGAGACACGGCCCAGACUCCUACGGGAGGCAGCAGUGGGGAAUCUUAGACAAUGGGGGCAACCCUGAUCGAGCCAUGCCGCGUGAGUGAUGAAGGCCUUAGGGUUGUAAAGCUCUUUCAGCUGGGAAGAUAAUGACGGUACCAGCAGAAGAAGCCCCGGCUAACUCCGUG